ACACCGGGAAACUGCUUCGCACGGUCUUUUGCGCUUAUUUUUGUUGGCAAAUGAGAAUGAUUCUAUUCCCGCAUAUUCCAUCGCAUUUUUUAAGAAAACGUGCCGGACGGACAGCAGCCACAGGCUCUUCUAUCAUCAUGGUUUCAUGGUGGCAGCUCAUUCUGAGGGAUAUCUUGAGCCACUCGGGAUGCGCUGCCCUUUCCACUGGACCCGUUAUAUCAAGGCAGUGGAAAGCAGUGCGGCUGUAUAGCAUCCAAUAGCCAAAGCCUGGCUCCCCUCCAAAUCUAAGUGGGUUUGAGCCAGGCCAUGACAUGGAAGGGAAACCAUUUUGAAAAAACUCAGGGUCAGAUAGGGGUGAUAGGGGCACUAGACUGUAAGAAGAACCAUCAUUUAAACGGAGGAUGAUGAGCAGCCGCCCCCUUCCAUCCAACCCUUCCCUUCCAGCCGCUCCUACAUCUGAAAGAUGCCAGACAGAAACUCAAAACUCAAAUAGUAUCAAACCACAGCUACACACAGAUGCUCCCUAUACUGGAUGAAGCCAAAGACUUUAUGACUUUACAACAAUUAUGUAUAAGAAACCAUCAUUGUGAAAAAAGCCCUCCUGAAUAUA
This is a long non-coding RNA of Megalobrama amblycephala (Wuchang bream), 610 nucleotides long. RefSeq lists it as uncharacterized. The transcript is spliced from 3 exons. NCBI's taxonomy places the organism in Eukaryota, Metazoa, Chordata, Actinopteri, Cypriniformes, Xenocyprididae. The record is from RefSeq and is a predicted model, not a curated record.